AAGACAAAAUAUUAUAGUGCUUCUAUUUCCUCCUUUCUGAAAAUGUCUACCAAGGUGCUCCUCAUUGGAAUUUAUCCAAGUCUGAGAUUACCCGGCACUCUGUGAAAAUGUAAUCUGUUCCAUGUCUGCAACAAGGAGUAUCCACUACACUACCAUCCCAAGCUAAAACGGGAAAUUGUAGAACAUGUAAACAGCACAUGGAUUGGGGAAGCAGAAACUAAAGAGCGAUUGAGAAAACGCAACAGUAAUCACAUCCUUAAAACUGAAUACCCCCAGGGCCGGCCCAGGAUGGUUGGCAGACCUGGACAUCUCUGUUCUGUUUGCUUUGGAAAGAUGGAAUGGAAAGUGAAGGAGGCUGCUAGGCCUCCUUCUUCGUGGAAAAUAGAAGAGCCCAAUUCCAUAGAGGACUUUUCUGCCUUCAACAUUAAAAGAACCACAUAAUCCAAAGAAAGUUUCUUCCACCUUCUAGCCAAUGGUUACCUGACCCAGCGCUGGAACUUUACAGAUGGCACAUUGAGAUCCACACAGUUCAGUGACUUGCCUACAGCCACGCAGAGAAUACUUGGCAAAACCUGAAUUAUUUCUAAUUUCAAAGGUUGGGUAAUAUUAAUUAAAUUGUUGACAAGGUC
Ictidomys tridecemlineatus (thirteen-lined ground squirrel) is the source of this 629-nucleotide non-coding RNA. NCBI's taxonomy places the organism in Eukaryota, Metazoa, Chordata, Mammalia, Rodentia, Sciuridae. The record is from RefSeq and is a predicted model, not a curated record.